UACGUAGGGAGCAAGCGUUACUCGGAAUCACUGGGCAUAAAGGGCGUGUAGGCGGAUGCGUAAGUCCGGUGUGAAAUCCCUCGGCUCAACCGAGGAAGGCCAUCGGAUACUGCGUGUCUCGAGUGUGGAAGGGGAGAGUGGAACUCUUGGUGGAGCGGUGAAAUGCGUAGAUAUCAAGAGGAACGCCGGUUGCGAAAGCGGCUCUCUGGUCCAUAACUGACGCUGAGGCGCGAAAGCUAGGGGAGCAAACGGG
RNAcentral lists this ribosomal RNA (253 nucleotides) under uncultured bacterium. Its description in RNAcentral is "partial 16S ribosomal RNA". It matches the Rfam family "Bacterial small subunit ribosomal RNA", at positions 524 to 776 of the family's 1533-position model. The record is from RNAcentral.